This 272-nucleotide ribosomal RNA is filed under the name uncultured prokaryote. RNAcentral's name for it is "partial 16S ribosomal RNA". It matches the Rfam family "Bacterial small subunit ribosomal RNA", at positions 524 to 796 of the family's 1533-position model. The record is from RNAcentral.
UACGGAGAGGGCUAGCGUUAUUCGGAAUUAUUGGGCGUAAAGGGCGCGUAGGCUGAUUAAUAAGUUAAAAGUGAAAUCCCGAGGCUUAACCUUGGAAUUGCUUUUAAAACUAUUAAUCUAGAGAUUGAAAGAGGAUAGAGGAAUUCCUGAUGUAGAGGUAAAAUUCGUAAAUAUUAGGAGGAACACCAGUGGCGAAGGCGUCUAUCUGGUUCAAAUCUGACGCUGAGGCGCGAAGGCGUGGGGAGCAAACAGGAUUAGAACCCCUGUAGUCC